RNAcentral lists this small RNA (98 nucleotides) under Klebsiella pneumoniae. Its description in RNAcentral is "partial RtT sRNA". It matches the Rfam family "RtT RNA", at positions 1 to 96 of the family's 130-position model. From Rfam's summary of the family: This family represents a bacterial cis-regulatory element known as RtT RNA. The exact function of RtT is unknown although it is thought that it may be involved in changing the cellular response in relation to amino acid starvation. Lineage: Bacteria; Pseudomonadati; Pseudomonadota; Gammaproteobacteria; Enterobacterales; Enterobacteriaceae. The record is from RNAcentral.
UAUUCUGCCCCAUGGGGAAGGAUGAGAAGCUUCGACUAAGGUUCGACUCGAGCGCCAGCGAGAGAACGUUGCCACAGGCAACGGCCCGAAGGGCGAGG